Molecule: ribosomal RNA, 623 nt
Filed under: Yersinia enterocolitica
Lineage: Bacteria; Pseudomonadati; Pseudomonadota; Gammaproteobacteria; Enterobacterales; Yersiniaceae
Description: partial 23S ribosomal RNA
Rfam family: Bacterial large subunit ribosomal RNA
Source: RNAcentral
AUGGAGCCAACCUUGAAAUACCACCCUUUAAUGUUUGAUGUUCUAACUCGGCCCCGUAAUCCGGGGUGAGGACAGUGUCUGGUGGGUAGUUUGACUGGGGCGGUCUCCUCCCAAAGAGUAACGGAGGAGCACGAAGGUUAGCUAAUCACGGUCGGACAUCGUGAGGUUAGUGCAAAGGCAUAAGCUAGCUUGACUGCGAGAGUGACGGCUCGAGCAGGUACGAAAGUAGGUCUUAGUGAUCCGGUGGUUCUGAAUGGAAGGGCCAUCGCUCAACGGAUAAAAGGUACUCCGGGGAUAACAGGCUGAUACCGCCCAAGAGUUCAUAUCGACGGCGGUGUUUGGCACCUCGAUGUCGGCUCAUCACAUCCUGGGGCUGAAGUAGGUCCCAAGGGUAUGGCUGUUCGCCAUUUAAAGUGGUACGCGAGCUGGGUUUAGAACGUCGUGAGACAGUUCGGUCCCUAUCUGCCGUGGGCGUUGGAAGAUUGAGAGGGGCUGCUCCUAGUACGAGAGGACCGGAGUGGACGAAUCACUGGUGUUCGGGUUGUCAUGCCAAUGGCAUUGCCCGGUAGCUAAAUUCGGAAGAGAUAACCGCUGAAAGCAUCUAAGCGGGAAACUUGCCUCGA